CCUACGGGUGGCUGCAGUGAGGAAUAUUGGUCAAUGGACGAGAGUCUGAACCAGCCAAGUAGCGUGAAGGAUGACUGCCCUAUGGGUUGUAAACUUCUUUUAUAUGGGAAUAAAAUGUUCCACGUGUGGGAUUUUGUAUGUACCAUAUGAAUAAGGAUCGGCUAACUCCGCGCCAGCAGCCGCGGUAAUACGGAGGAUCCGAGCGUUAUCCGGAUUUAUUGGGUUUAAAGGGAGCGUAGGUGGAUUGUUAAGUCAGUUGUGAAAGUUUGCGGCUCAACCGGAAAAUUGCAGUUGAAACUGGCAGUCUUGAGUACAGUAGAGGUGAGCGGAAUUCGUGGUGUAGCGGUGAAAUGCUUAGAUAUCACGAAGAACUCCGAUUGCGAAGGCAGUUCACUGGACUGCAACUGACACUGAGGCUCGAAAGUGUGGGUAUCAAACAGGAUUAGAUACCCCUGUAGUC
This 460-nucleotide ribosomal RNA is filed under the name uncultured bacterium. Its description in RNAcentral is "partial 16S ribosomal RNA". It matches the Rfam family "Bacterial small subunit ribosomal RNA", at positions 338 to 795 of the family's 1533-position model. The record is from RNAcentral.